RNAcentral lists this unclassified non-coding RNA (317 nucleotides) under Hevea brasiliensis (rubber tree). The record is from RNAcentral. Lineage: Eukaryota; Viridiplantae; Streptophyta; Magnoliopsida; Malpighiales; Euphorbiaceae.
GCAGCAGUUGUUAAAAGGGAGGGAGAACAAAGAACUUCACAGAGAAAAAAUUAUGAUAACGACAUUUCUUCCUAACUAAAACCAGUAGCUGAUAUGCAAAAUUAUCUCAAAAUCGGUCCGGGAACGUCGAUAGAAGGUGAAGAGUAACCUAUUAGAAUUGACUACACAUUCACUCAUUUGUAGGUUCCCAUGCCGACGCCAGCUUCCCCGCCAUAUGGAAGGAAGCUUUCUCUCGCCUUGGAGUAGAAUACAUAGUAGAGUUCUGAUACAAUGGCAUUGAAGAAAAUGAAGGCUGCACUGGCACUGAAAACUCCCUU